This 367-nucleotide ribosomal RNA is filed under the name uncultured bacterium. RNAcentral describes it as "bacterial SSU rRNA". It matches the Rfam family "Bacterial small subunit ribosomal RNA", at positions 527 to 896 of the family's 1533-position model. The record is from RNAcentral.
GGAGGAUCCAAGCGUUAUCCGGAUUUAUUGGGUUUAAAGGGUGCGUAGGCGGCUUAUUAAGUCAGGGGUGAAAGACGGUGGCUCAACCAUCGCAGUGCCUUUGAUACUGAUGAGCUUGAAUACACUAGAGGUAGGCGGAAUGUGACAAGUAGCGGUGAAAUGCAUAGAUAUGUCACAGAACACCAAUUGCGAAGGCAGCUUACUAUGGUGUUAUUGACGCUGAGGCACGAAAGCGUGGGGAUCAAACAGGAUUAGAUACCCUGGUAGUCCACGCCCUAAACGAUGAAUACUCGAUGUUAGCGAUAUACCGUUAGCGUCUAAGCGAAAGCGUUAAGUAUUCCACCUGGGGAGUACGCCCGCAAGGGUG